AGUGAAAGUAUCUAUGGUGGAUGAAGAGAAAUAGCUAGAAAUAGAGUCUACAGUGGCGGUUUCUCCAUUAGGGCGAUUGGGCGAUGCACCACCAAAGCGCGAAAAAGCAGAAGAGGCACCUUCAGCACCAUGGAGAGCACCCCACUCUCAGGCUCUGCCAUUAUUGAUGGUACUGGAAGGCAGCUCUAACUGGAGGUGAUCAGGACCAUGGAGAGUUCCCUGUUAAGACAGGUCCCUGAAGCCAAAGUCUGAUGGACCCAACUUUUCUACCAGGAUACUACCAGUGUAAUCUGCUGCCCUGCGGGAAUCACCAAGGAUCGGCACUCUCACCCUUUCUAUUCAUCUUAUGCAUGGAC
Molecule: long non-coding RNA, 356 nt
Organism: Cyprinus carpio carpio
Lineage: Eukaryota; Metazoa; Chordata; Actinopteri; Cypriniformes; Cyprinidae
Source: Ensembl